GAGGCGACGAUGCGUAGGGGUUCUGAGAGGAAGGUCCCCCACACUGGUACUGAGACACGGACCAGACUCCUACGGGAGGCAGCAGUGAGGAAUAUUGGUCAAUGGGCGGGAGCCUGAACCAGCCAAGUCGCGUGAGGGAAGACGGUCCUAUGGAUUGUAAACCUCUUUUGCCGGGGAGCAACGGGGUCCUUGCGAGGGCCUAAUGAGAGUACCCGGAGAAAAAGCAUCGGCUAACUCCGUGCCAGCAGCCGCGGUAAUACGGAGGAUGCGAGCGUUAUCCGGAUUUAUUGGGUUUAAAGGGUGCGUAGGCGGGCUGUUAAGUCAGCGGUCAAAUGUCGGGGCUCAACCCCGGCCUGCCGUUGAAACUGGUGGCCUCGAGUGGGCGAGAAGUAUGCGGAAUGCGUGGUGUAGCGGUGAAAUGCAUAGAUAUCACGCAGAACUCCGAUUGCGAAGGCAGCAUACCGGCGCCCGACUGACGCUGAGGCACGGAAGCGUGGGUAUCGAACAGGAUUAGAUACCCUGGUAGUCCACGCAGUAAACGAUGAAUGCUAGCUGUCCGGGGCUUCGGUCCUGG
This 574-nucleotide ribosomal RNA is filed under the name uncultured bacterium. RNAcentral's name for it is "bacterial SSU rRNA". It matches the Rfam family "Bacterial small subunit ribosomal RNA", at positions 270 to 842 of the family's 1533-position model. The record is from RNAcentral.